This 3182-nucleotide long non-coding RNA is filed under the name Mytilus galloprovincialis (Mediterranean mussel). The record is from RNAcentral. Lineage: Eukaryota; Metazoa; Mollusca; Bivalvia; Mytilida; Mytilidae.
UACGUAACAAUAGGUGUAGCUCUUGGAGUUGUACUUGCAAUUAUACUGAUUGUUUUGGUUGUUAUUAUCUACAGAGUAAAACAUAAAAAAUCACUGUGAGUAUAAAUGAGAUGUCAACGGUUAUGACUGUAUACGUAAAUUUUUAGAAAUUAGAAUAUGCAACAUUCCAACAGCAUCUACAAAUAGAGUAUACAUCUUUGGAUUGAUACGAUAUGUAAGAGCUUUAGAACUAUGUAAAUAAAUAUUAAGGACAUAUGAAACAGGUUGCAUUCCACGGUGCUUUUUUACGAAAAUUUGCAUACAAACUAUUUUUCAACUAGUCAAUUCAAAUUUGUAAUAAAAACAUAUACUUCCAUGUACUACUUAAUGGUAUCGAAAUUUUUAACAUUUAUUAAAAUGGUAUCGAAACUUUAAACAUUUACUAAAAAGAUAUAAAAAAACCAGGACUUUUGUACAAACAUUUAGAAAAUCUUCUUUACAAAAGUAUGCUCUAAGUUUGUUUAACAAUUCUUUAAAAUGAUUGGUUUUUAUCAAAGUAUCACGAUUUUAGAAAAAGAACUGCAUUUUUUGCUGUAUUUUAUUCUAAUUUAAAUAAAAAUAUCAAUUACUUUUUCAUAAAAAUUGGAACAAAUAUUCUAAAUACAUAAUCAAACCAUAGAUGUAAUACGGUAUUACAUCUAUGAUCAAACCUUAUGUCAUUUAGAAAAGGGGGUCCAUGAAAUCGUUUCAAGUUAAAUCAGUAUGAAUGAUAAAAAUUAGUCCAAAAUGCAUCUUUCCCCGAUAUGUCACUUUUUUGACGUCUUGACGUUUCGAAAAAAACAUUUAACGUCAUAACCUCCUCUGUAACUGUAUCGUAUACCCUUAAAUCUACUUUGUUUUACAGGAAGUUAAAAUCUUUUCUUGGUUGUAUGUGCAUUAUUUCACGUUUAUAGGUUGCUCCUUGUAAAAUCAGCUGUUACACAAACCACGACUUUUUUUUAGGAGAUAUAUAAUAUUUAUAGAUUUGGUUUUGUUCCCAGAUAUAAUCUCUAUAUUUCAUCUCAUAGAGACUUUACUUGGGAAUAUUACCAGUAUAAAUAAACAUGGAUAGCGGCCGCCUUGAAUUCUGAGGAAGACUCAAAGCGGAGGGAGGGGUAGUACAAGAUUUUUAUGUAUAUUUUGUCAUUUAAAAAAAUUGUAUUGCACAUGACCUAAUGAUUUCAUCCUAAGAUAUUGGUGCAGUUUUAGCCAUAAUAGGAAAUUGCCUUGUCUAUAUUUACAGAAAUGCAACCUAUAUAAAGACGUAAAAAUUAUCUAAGUUGGGUGAAAUCUCAGAGUUGUUCCUCUUAGGUUAUUAUUAUAAUUUAUCUGAUAAUUGAAAAGUGUUACUGAGUGAAAUUCUAUAAUCAUUUUCAGCUGUUUUGUCAAUUUUACAAUAUUAUGCAACGAUGAUAAUUAUGCAUAUGGAAAUCAUGGAAAUGAAUACUUUCAAAUUGAUCUAAGAUUUUAUUGAAAAUCAAACAAAGUAAAGUACAUGUGAAGGUGUUUUCUUUUUUACAAAAUUUAUAAAAGGGAAAUUAACAUAAGGAAAAGAUAUUAAAUGUAUCUCAAAAACUGAACUUAUGUGAAUUUAAUGUUGAAUUAAAAAAAAAAUUGAAAUAUUCACAAUAUUUUUGUUAUAUAUUCCCAUUCCGUUGUUUACACAGUUAGUGUAUCAGUAUUAAUUCAGUAGAUUGUCAAAACUUAACUGGCCAUUAGACUAAACAUACUGCGAAAUUAUAACAGUGCGCAACCUGUGUCCCAAACGAUUUGGUUGUUAAAAUCAAUCUUUUUAUAAUAUAUCGGUGAUUUGAUUUUGCUCUUGAAAGUUUUUUUGAUAUAUUUAUUCUUCAAGAAUCACUGCAGAGACAUCAAUUAUGACCAAAAUAUUGUCAUACUAUAUCACUAAAAUAUAAAAUUAGUUAUCAUUAUGAUUAAUUCCAUAUGGGAUUUUUUUUUAAAAUAAUCAUUAAACCUUUGUUAUUCACAGGAAAAGGAUAAAUGUUGAGAAGGAAGAAAAAAAUGGACGACAGUCAAUGUUUGAAAAACUAGAGAAUCACGCAGAUGAGAAUAGGUCUAGAACACCAGUAGAACUGUUUAAAGUAAAGUAGAGUAAAGGUUCAUGAAGAAUCCAACAGCAAGAACAGUGCAACCAAUUAAAAAAAUGGAUGUUAACAUUCAUGUCGUUUAUAAAGAAUUCUAUGACAAUUGAACCGUUUUUUCUAUAUCAUGAUAAUUGAAGAUUUGAAUUGUAGUCAUUUCGUACCCUUACCAUUUCGUACCCAUAAUUUCGUACCCUGGCAAAAUCAAUUUCGUACUUUGACCAUUUAGUACCAUGACCAUCAGAUACCUCAUGGAAUAUUAACAUGUAUACCAUUUCGUACCUCAUGGAAGAUUUUAAUGUAUGUCAUUUAGUACAUCUUGUAAGUUUAUAUGUAUGCUUUUUCGUACCCCAUGGAAGAUUUACAUGUAUGUCAUUUCGUACCUCAUUGAGGAUGUAUUUAUAUGUAUGCUAAUUCGUACUCAUGGAAGAUUUUUCAUGUGUAAGAUGUCUGGGUGAAAAAGUUCAUAGACGUAUAGUCCUUGUGUCACUUUAAACUGCAUUUCCUGACAAAAAUAAAGGCAACAGUAGUAUACUGCUGUUCGAAAUUCAUAAAUGGAUUGAGAAAAAAAUAAAUCCGGGUUACAAACAAAAACUAAGCCAAACACAUCAAUUAUAAGAGGAGAACUACGACACAACAGAAACACAACAUUAAAAUGUAACACUCCAAAAAUGUCCAUUUUCCUGACUUGGCAUAGGACAUUUUAAGAAAAAAGUUGUGGGUUGAACCUAGUUUUGUGGCAUGCCAAACCUCCCGCUUUUAUGACUGCCAAUGUUAAAUAUAACAUUUUAAAAAAUGACAACAUUACAUGACAGGACUACAAGACAAAUAAAUGGGAGAACAUAUAGGACAGAGAAACACACGAAUAGGAGCUAACAAAAGGUACCAGAUUUAAAAUUUAAUACGCCAGACAAAAACAAAUAUUUAUAACUAGAAAACAGUUGCAUAAUAAAUCCUGUAAACAAAGUGUUAAUAACACUAUUGAAGUUUCCAAGUGCUGCUUAAUCAAACCAAUUAUCGGUCUUUAUAAAAUUGUUAGACCCCGUUCACACUAGCAUAUUU